GAAAUGCAGUUUAAUUUAUCAAGAAACAAAACUAACACUUCCUGCAAAGGGAUGGGCACUUACUGAGAAAGAGAAACUUCUGGAAAUGAGGGCAAGUCUGUUCACAGAUCAGUUAAGCGUGGGUACUGUGAACUAGUAUAAAUAAUCAAGGCAAACAUUGAUCAGUCCUUUUCAAGACUGAAGCCUUCUGCUGCCAGAUCAACAAGGUUUAUGGUAUUUCCUCUGUGGGAUAUGCUGUGGAACUUGAAUGGUCUCGUAGCCUUUAUAUCAUCAUGAAGGAGGUGGAGGUCGUGUAAAUCCUUGCUGCCAAGGGCAAGGUCAUCUGGCCCAGCGCCGUUCAGAGAGGAAACUCAGCAUUUGCUAGAGUGCCUCUUUGUUUUGUGUUGUCCAGAUGUGCAGAGGCAGGAUGUCAGGAUAACAUCCUACAUCGACCCUCAAGUCUAUAAAAGACCCUCCAAAGCUAUAAAAGCAAAGUCACAAGCUAUAGAAGCAAAGUCCAAUGCUAUGAAGCAGUUAAUGUCAAUGCACGUAAUGCAAAAAGUGAAAACUUUUGUUUCUGCAUUGCUUGGUUUCAGUUGGUCUGGGGCCCAGCUGAGGCAACUCAGCCCCAUAAAUGUUUAAAGAAAAAGAAAUAAAGAUCAUGAACUGAAACAGAA
This is a non-coding RNA of Danio rerio (zebrafish), 656 nucleotides long. The record is from Ensembl. NCBI's taxonomy places the organism in Eukaryota, Metazoa, Chordata, Actinopteri, Cypriniformes, Danionidae.